Molecule: long non-coding RNA, 2583 nt
Filed under: Panax ginseng (ginseng)
Lineage: Eukaryota; Viridiplantae; Streptophyta; Magnoliopsida; Apiales; Araliaceae
Description: long non-coding RNA (PGIN_LNC017238)
Source: RNAcentral
AAUUGUGCAACAACACUUAGCUUCAUUCUCUCUAGACCAAACCUCCAAAAUUUUCUUACCCAUAAGCUCAUAAUCAAAGCCCAGCCAUCACAAACCACAAAUCAGAAGCAUCAAGAAGUCAGAAAUCAAAAAUCAAGCUUGAAAAGGUAGGAAACCCUAAAUUCUAGAAAUCCUUCGAUUCAAUGUUAAUUGAUGCAAUUUAUUGUUUAAAGUUGUGUAAUAAGGAGUCUAUUAAUGUUCGGGGUUGUAAAAACACAGACCCAUAACAUCAAAGUGCUCAAAAUCAAAGAUUUAAGCAAGUUAGAAAAAUCGAAUUCUGUGAUUUUUGGACAAAUGUCAGGCCUUAUAUCUCGGUUAUCUUUAAUGUGUUUUGUGUUCUAAAGGUUGUUAUGUAUAGCUUGUUAUGUGGUAUUUAAUCUCCAAAAAGAAUCAGGUCCAUAUAUAUAUUGGAUUAUGAGUUAUUUAAGGUCAAAGUGGGUUGACCGGCAUUGACUGGAAAAUUCUGGGCAGCCCAGAAUUUUCGAAGUGUUGAUUUUUCUGACAAGGUUUGACCAUACUUUAGCUGCUUUAUUUCUUGUUGUUAGGAUGAUGUUAAGUGUUAAAGUUGUAGUCCUACAAGUUUUUCUACACACUGAAAUUGAUAGAUCACAUAAACGUUACACGAUCGUCAAGUUAUAGAGGCCCAAAGUAGGCAUCACGAACUGUUCUUCACGAAGAACAGCUCUGACAGCUACUUUGAUGGCUUAUUUCUCCCAGAUCUGAUGUUGUUUAAACGUUAUGAUUGUUGGUAAUUGUAGUCUGGUAUUUCCUCUACAAGACCCAAUUCAUAGAUUGCCCAGAUUCAUUAAGAACAAAAAUUUAUUCAUGGUCAAAGUAGCCCCCUUGAACUGUCUCUGACAGUGUUCUUGAGAUGAAGAACACCUAUAGCGAUGGUUGUCUGUCGCUAUAACCUUUAGCGACGGAUUUUAUUUAUUUUAUUUUUUGUAAUUUCCGAAAAUGAUUUAAAAAAUUAGAAAAAUUAGAUUUUAAUUAUUAAAAAUACUUAUUAAAUUCUGAAAAAUUAUUUUAAAGUCCGAAAAAUAGUUUUUAAUUAUUUUGAGUAUAUUUCAUAAAUAUUUAAUAUUUUUGGAAUAUAAAAGGUAUUUAUUUAUUUAAUUAUAAUAUUAAAUAAAUGAUUUAAAAAUAGUUUUAAUUCAUGAAAAAUCAUGAAAAAUUAUUUUAUGGUAUAAGAAAAUAUUUUAAGUUAUUUUCCAUGACUUUUAAUAUUUUGUGAUGAAUUUCAUUAAUUAAUUAUAUAUUAAUGAUAUUAAAGUUAUUUAAUGAUUAUAUUAAAUAAUUUAGUUUAAAAAUGAUUUUAAUAUUAUAAAAAUCAUUUUAAAUGAAAUUAAGGUAUUUAAAAAUAUUUUAAGUUAUAAAAUAUAACUUUUAAUAUUUAAAGGAUAAUUUCAUUAAUAAUUUAAUAUUAAUGAUAUUAAGAUAAUAUUAAUGAUAUUUAGUUUAUUUAAUAAUUAUUAUUAAAUAAAUAGUUUAAAAAUGGUUUUAUUUAUUUAAAAAUCAUUUAAAGAGGAUAUUAAGGAUUUAAAAAUAUUUUAAGUUAUAAUUAAUGACUUUUAAUAUUUGGAUGAAUAGUACAUUAAUAUUUAUAUAUUAAUGGUGAUUAUUUAAAAAUGAUUUUAAUUGUUUUAAAAAUCAUUUAAGGGUAAUAUAAAUGUUUUAAAAAUAGUUUGAGUUAUUAUAAAUAACUUUUAUAUUUUGGCAAUGGUUUCAUUAAUAGUUUAAUAUAAAUUAAUUAUUAAUGAUAAUGGAAUUGUUUAAUGUUUAAAUCAUUUAAUUAUGAUUCCGAUGUUUGAAAGUUAUAGCCGGCCAAACUAGCUGACUUGAGAACCGAUUAUGAAGUUAUGAAGUUUUGAGGAACACCUAUAGUAACAGUUAUAUCACUAUAGGCCCGGUAGUGACAGAUUUGAAUUAUUUUAAAUUUUUCAAUUUCUGGAAAAUUCGAAAAUGAUUAAAAAUAAAAUGUUUGAUAUUUACAGAUGUUGAGGUAUAGGAUAAGAGUCUUAGACUCAGUAUUUACCCGAUAAAGCUGUCGGUACGCCGACAAAUGUCAGACCCUAUAAUAGAAAGAAAAGACUUCUGUAAGAGCAUGGAUGAGAUAUUUGAAAAAUGUAUAAAAAUAUUUCAAGUAUAGAAUAUGAACUAAAAGUAUGAUCACUGCGAUUAUGUGAUGACGUGAUUAGACUAUGUGCUGACUGUAAUAGACAGUACUAUGUGUUAUGAUAUAUUGUUCUAAUCGAACGAAUGAUCUGAUUAUUGAUAGGUUGUGAUAAAGAGAUAAAACCUAAGUUGAGAUUUGUAAUCAGCGAAUCAGGCAAGUAUCUUACCUUUGCAUUUCCUUUAUGCAAUGGACAUGAGUAAGAAGUUUCAGAAUUAUUCUAUUCCUGUACAGAUUAUGUACGCUUUGAUUAUCAACAUGUUAGCUCAGAUAUAUAUUCUGUUAAGUUGAUUUCUAAAUGGUUAUACAAGUGUCCCCACUUGGAUAAUCAUGGCAUUUAUUCACAUGUUGAUAUACCUUUGUCAAUUACC